GUAGUCGUGGCCUAAUGGAUAGAGAGUCGGACUUGGAACCUGAAGGUUGUGGGUUCGAGUCUCAGGGCCGGCA
This is a non-coding RNA of Pangasianodon gigas (Mekong giant catfish), 73 nucleotides long. NCBI's taxonomy places the organism in Eukaryota, Metazoa, Chordata, Actinopteri, Siluriformes, Pangasiidae. The record is from the annotation of a GenBank genome assembly.